This 253-nucleotide ribosomal RNA is filed under the name uncultured bacterium. Its description in RNAcentral is "partial 16S ribosomal RNA". It matches the Rfam family "Bacterial small subunit ribosomal RNA", at positions 524 to 776 of the family's 1533-position model. The record is from RNAcentral.
UACAGAGGUCUCAAGCGUUGUUCGGAUUCAUUGGGCGUAAAGGGUGCGUAGGCGGCGCGGUAAGUCGGGUGUGAAAUCUCGGAGCUUAACUCCGAAACUGCAUUCGAUACUGCCGUGCUUGAGGACUGGAGAGGAGACUGGAAUUUACGGUGUAGCGGUGAAAUGCGUAGAUAUCGAGAGGAACACCAGUGGCGAAGGCGAGUCUCUGGACAUUUCCUGACGCUGGGGCACGAAAGCCAGGGGAGCAAACGGG